AUACUGGACUUGACACAGAUGAACAAUUAAAGUGGAAAGCGCUUCCCUUUUCUCCUCUGUGGCAGUUACAAUUUUGACUUCAGGCCUGAGAAAAACUUCAGCUUGGAAACCAAUCUGGCAACCUCGACUAAGGCUUUCCCCACUCAAGACCUCCUCAUCUCCCCUGUACGUGCAGCUCGCCUUGGAAUGAAUGCCUCACCACCUUACAGGCUAGAGGACCACACUUCCUCCCAUCCCAUCCCCAAAAGGCUACGGCAGAUGGCUUGAUCUGAAGGGAAAUACACAACUGUGUUUAUUUUAAAAUACAUUAAAAAGCAAAACCAGGGCAGUUUGGUGCUAUAACAAAUAAUUACAUAUAGGCACACAGAAACUGGGUUCUCAGAGGACACAGGCCAGGGCCCCCACGUUGCUGACGUACGUGUUUGGGUCACACUUGCCUACCAGCUCAUUGCCAUCUAGUGCAGUAACCCUGGGUUAGUCUUGUAGAGGAAAGGUGAGUCAAUUCCUAGGUUGCCAUCACAAAACUCCAGUGGACGCCCUAAGGCAGUGGUGUAACUCCAUAAAACGCACACAGAUGUCUUUAAUACAAGUUGCUUCAGGCCAGUGAGACUGCAGUUUAUUUGACUAUCUUAUGGUAGGGGAAGAGGCUGAGCGUCGCUGUGAAGGCCCUGAUGUCAGUAAUGGGGGUGGUGGACUCUGCCAGGAGAGGAGAGGGUGGCAGGUAGAUUAGCUGCAUCCCUUCACGAGAAUUCGGAUCCUCACAAACGGGAGCGCCGUCCUCUUCCAGUUC
Molecule: long non-coding RNA, 790 nt
Filed under: Rattus norvegicus (Norway rat)
Lineage: Eukaryota; Metazoa; Chordata; Mammalia; Rodentia; Muridae
Description: long non-coding RNA NONRATT023465
Source: RNAcentral